GGAGAGAUGCCUGAGUGGCCGAAAGGAACAGUUUGCUAAACUGUCGUACUGGUAACGGUACCGAGGGUUCGAAUCCCUCUCUCUCCG
RNAcentral lists this transfer RNA (87 nucleotides) under Spirosoma linguale DSM 74. RNAcentral describes it as "tRNA-Ser (GCT) (tRNA-Ser-GCT-1-1)". It matches the Rfam family "tRNA". Rfam says of the family: Transfer RNA (tRNA) molecules are approximately 80 nucleotides in length. Lineage: Bacteria; Pseudomonadati; Bacteroidota; Cytophagia; Cytophagales; Cytophagaceae. RNAcentral also lists the same sequence under 19 other names. The record is from RNAcentral.